RNAcentral lists this ribosomal RNA (253 nucleotides) under uncultured bacterium. Its description in RNAcentral is "partial 16S ribosomal RNA". It matches the Rfam family "Bacterial small subunit ribosomal RNA", at positions 524 to 776 of the family's 1533-position model. The record is from RNAcentral.
UACGUAGGGUGCGAGCGUUAAUCGGAAUUACUGGGCGUAAAGCGUGCGCAGGCGGUUCUCCAAGUCCGUUGUGAAAGCCCCGGGCUCAACCUGGGAAUGGCAGUGGAAACUAGGGGACUGGAAUCUGGCAGAGGAGGGUGGAAUGCCGCGUGUAGCAGUGAAAUGCGUAGAGAUGCGGCGGAGCACCGAUGGCGAAGGCAGCCCCCUGGGCUGAGAUUGACGCUCAGGCACGAAAGCGUGGGGAGCAAACAGG